GAUGAACGCUAGCGGCAGGCUUAACACAUGCAAGUCGAGGGGCAGCGGGAGGAGUGCUUGCACUUCUUGCCGGCGACCGGCGCACGGGUGAGUAACACGUAUGCAACCUGCCUCCGUCAGGGGGACAACCCGGCGAAAGCCGGGCUAAUCCCGCGUAUAUUCCGUGAGGGCAUCCUUACGGAAGGAAAGGUUUCGGCCGGACGGGGAUGGGCAUGCGGCGCAUUAGGUAGUCGGGGGUGUAACGGACCACCGAGUCGACGAUGCGUAGGGGUUCUGAGAGGAAGGUCCCCACAUUGGUACUGAGACACGGACCAAACUCCUACGGGAGGCAGCAGUGAGGAAUAUUGGUCAAUGGGCGAGAGCCUGAACCAGCCAAGUCGCGUGAAGGAUGAAGGAUCUAUGGUUUGUAAACUUCUUUUAUACGGGAAUAAAGUGUGGUACGUGUACCAUUUUGUAUGUACCGUAUGAAUAAGCAUCGGCUAAACUCCGUG
RNAcentral lists this ribosomal RNA (491 nucleotides) under uncultured bacterium. Its description in RNAcentral is "bacterial SSU rRNA". It matches the Rfam family "Bacterial small subunit ribosomal RNA", at positions 28 to 507 of the family's 1533-position model. The record is from RNAcentral.